Molecule: long non-coding RNA, 294 nt
Filed under: Homo sapiens (human)
Lineage: Eukaryota; Metazoa; Chordata; Mammalia; Primates; Hominidae
Description: non-protein coding lnc-NPM1-2:1
Source: RNAcentral
GCCGGGCAUGAUGGCACAUGCCUGUAAUCCCAGCUACUCGGGAGGCUGAGGCAGGAGAAUCACUUGAAUCUGGGAGGCAGAGGUUGCAGUGAGCCAAGAUUGUACCAUUGCACUCCAGCUUGGGCAACAAGAGCGAAACUCCAUCUCAAAAAAAAAGUAAAAUAAAAUCAAAAUCAGACAAUUUUUUUUUUUUUUGAGACUGAGUUUCAUUCUUGUUGCCCAGGCUGGAAUGCAAUGGCACGAUCUUGGCUCACCGAAAACUCUGCCUCCCGGGUUCAAACGAUUAUCCUGCCC